RNAcentral lists this ribosomal RNA (802 nucleotides) under bacterium EAB-F1.01. RNAcentral's name for it is "bacterial SSU rRNA". It matches the Rfam family "Bacterial small subunit ribosomal RNA", at positions 68 to 878 of the family's 1533-position model. The record is from RNAcentral.
GGUGAACACGGAGCUUGCUCUGUGGGAUCAGUGGCGAACGGGUGAGUAACACGUGAGCAACCUGCCCCUGACUCUGGGAUAAGCGCUGGAAACGGCGUCUAAUACUGGAUACGAGUAGCGGCCGCAUGGUCAGUUACUGGAAAGAUUUAUUGGUUGGGGAUGGGCUCGCGGCCUAUCAGCUUGUUGGUGAGGUAAUGGCUCACCAAGGCGUCGACGGGUAGCCGGCCUGAGAGGGUGACCGGCCACACUGGGACUGAGACACGGCCCAGACUCCUACGGGAGGCAGCAGUGGGGAAUAUUGCACAAUGGGCGGAAGCCUGAUGCAGCAACGCCGCGUGAGGGAUGACGGCCUUCGGGUUGUAAACCUCUUUUAGCAGGGAAGAAGCGAAAGUGACGGUACCUGCAGAAAAAGCACCGGCUAACUACGUGCCAGCAGCCGCGGUAAUACGUAGGGUGCAAGCGUUAUCCGGAAUUAUUGGGCGUAAAGAGCUCGUAGGCGGUUUGUCGCGUCUGCUGUGAAAUCCGGAGGCUCAACCUCCGGCCUGCAGUGGGUACGGGCAGACUAGAGUGCGGUAGGGGAGAUUGGAAUUCCUGGUGUAGCGGUGGAAUGCGCAGAUAUCAGGAGGAACACCGAUGGCGAAGGCAGAUCUCUGGGCCGUUACUGACGCUGAGGAGCGAAAGGGUGGGGAGCAAACAGGCUUAGAUACCCUGGUAGUCCACCCCGUAAACGUUGGGAACUAGUUGUGGGGUCCAUUCCACGGAUUCCGUGACGCAGCUAACGCAUUAAGUUCCCCGCCUGGGG